Sinocyclocheilus anshuiensis is the source of this 611-nucleotide long non-coding RNA. RefSeq lists it as uncharacterized. The transcript has 4 exons. The record is from RefSeq and is a predicted model, not a curated record. Lineage: Eukaryota; Metazoa; Chordata; Actinopteri; Cypriniformes; Cyprinidae.
CUGACUCUCUCCUGUUUUUACAGAAAUGAGGAUCAUCACACACGUGUCUCUGUCAAUCACUGAAUCAACUGAGUUUGAUUUUAGUGAAGCGUUCAGGAGGUUUUUGUUCAGCUGCUCUAUUAGUUUCUAUCACUGUGGUGGACGUUUGGCAGCGGCACCAAACUGGAUGUUGGCAGCAUCACUCGUCCUAAAGUGAGCGUCCUGCCGCCCUCCAGUGCAGAGAUCUCCUCAAAGAAGACAGCGACACUGGUGUGUGUGGCCAGCAAGGGCUUCCCGUCAGACUGGAGCCUGAGCUGGAAGGUGGACGGGAGCAGCAGGUCUCAGGAGAGCAGCGCUGGGCUCCUGGAGAAGGACGGUCUGUACAGCUGGAGCAGCAGCCUGACUCUCUCUGAGCAGGAGUGGAUGGAGAGCGUCUCAGUGAGCUGUGAGGCCACACGGAGCGGCCAGCCUGCGCUCACUGGACACGUGACGAGACAGCAGUGUUCAGAGUAGAUCUGCUGCUCUUCUCACUCAUGUCUCACAUGGAGACUAACAGCACAUGAGCGACUCCUUCAUUCUCCACAUCCAGCUUCAGUCGCUCGCAUCUGCAUCUGCUCUGCUUUGUGUGCUUC